GUCUCAGUUCGGAUUGGAGUCUGCAACUCGACUCCAUGAAGCUGGAUUCGCUAGUAAUCGCGCAUCAGCCAUGGCGCGGUGAAUACGUUCCCGGGCCUUGUACACACCGCCCGUCAAGCCAUGGGAGUCGGGAGUGCCUGAAGUUCGUGACCGUAUAGGAGCGACCUAGGGCAAGACUGAUGACUGGGGCUAAGUCGUAACAAGGUAAC
RNAcentral lists this ribosomal RNA (209 nucleotides) under uncultured bacterium. RNAcentral's name for it is "partial 16S ribosomal RNA". It matches the Rfam family "Bacterial small subunit ribosomal RNA", at positions 1285 to 1500 of the family's 1533-position model. The record is from RNAcentral.